RNAcentral lists this ribosomal RNA (253 nucleotides) under uncultured bacterium. Its description in RNAcentral is "partial 16S ribosomal RNA". It matches the Rfam family "Bacterial small subunit ribosomal RNA", at positions 524 to 776 of the family's 1533-position model. The record is from RNAcentral.
UACGGAGGGUGCAAGCGUUAUCCGGAUUCACUGGGUUUAAAGGGUGCGUAGGUGGGCAAGUAAGUCAGUGGUGAAAUCUCCGGGCUUAACCCGGAAAGGUCAACUGAUACUGCGGGGCUAGAGUGCAGAAGGGGCAACUGGAAUUCUCGGUGUAGCGGUGAAAUGCGUAGAUAUCGAGAGGAACACCUGCGGCGAAGGCGGGUUGCUGGGCUGACACUGACGCUGAACUGCGAAAGCUAGGGGAGCGAACGGG